CUCAACUGUGACAUUGCAAAACAAACUGAAGCAGGGCUUGUAGCUCGCAGUGACGGACUGCGAACGAGUGACAUUUCAAUCGAGCACGAUGCCAAAGCAGUAGUGGAACACGGAGGAAGUAUGAAGAAUCAUUUCACUGGGUAUGACCACACAGUCACAAGUCGACACACUGUGAUUUACUUUCAGUCAGCUGCUUUUCGGGCCUCUGAGGGCGAUCUGUUUGCUCAUGAUGUCGCCCCCAAAAAGCGUGACUGCUGAUGUCUGCGCCGGCGUCGCCGACAACAUCGCGUCCCCUUCGGCCUUUGGUCAAGGAAGUCAAAAAGGCGCUUCCAUCACGGGGAAUGCGUAGCCUGUCUGAGACCAGUUGGAAGUGCCCAGUCAAAGCCAAACACGCAAAAGCAGUAUUUCACUCAAAAGAGAACAUUGAUGAGCCAUUUUUUUUCUUCUUCUCAAGAGAGGAAAAACCACAGGAAAGUGCCACAGGGCACCAAACGAGAAAAACAACUGAGGGAACCAGAGUUGGUGGCACUCCGACAACAGAGGGAAGACUGCCAUGAUUUACGACAUCAUGUCAGCGAGGCUGUACCGCCCACCAUUGUAUGGAUGGAGUCUUCAUCGCAUCAUGUCUGCUCUAGUUUGGCGUGCCAAACUUCCAACAUUAAACCGGGCGAAGCUAAAUCAACAGAGGGGGCGCUGCUCUGGCCCAUUGCAACCCUUGUGAAAAGAUCUAAAGCCUUGCAGUUCUAUGGACUCAUGGGGAAACGCUCGGGUGACACUUCACAUCCCGAAAAAGUGUGCCCGCACCAAGUAUUUAGGCAUGUCAUCUUUCACUUUUGUUGUUGUAAUCAAGAUACACAGUACUGCAGCAACCCUUGCAUAAAUAUGUGACUAAUUGUCCAAUUACUGAUCAAGGAGUUUAAUAUUUCGGGACCACCUUGCCCAGAGGUGGGCAAAAAUACAAAAAAA
Long non-coding RNA from Hippocampus comes (tiger tail seahorse), 966 nucleotides. RefSeq lists it as uncharacterized. The transcript is spliced from 2 exons. Lineage: Eukaryota; Metazoa; Chordata; Actinopteri; Syngnathiformes; Syngnathidae. The record is from RefSeq and is a predicted model, not a curated record.